GCAUUGUGCUCUGUGGGACCCAGUUUGGGAAAAGCUGCCCUACUGGCUGGUCUGCAAACAGCUGCCGAGACAGAGCAGGGGGUCCAAGCAGGACAAGGCGCAUGAACAGGAACAGGGCUUGCGGGGGUCCUGGGCUGCAGCCCCUCAGCUCGUGGGCUCCCCGUCCUGUUUGCCCCCACUCUUCACUCCCUGCCUCAGGCUUGCAUUUAACACCUUCCCCUUCUUCCCUAGUGACCCCGAAUCUCCCUAAAAUCAUCGCCCUCCACCCCCUUCUCCGAUGGACACCCAGAGACCAGAGCCCCCAGCGCACUGCUCAGGGUGCCGGGCACGUCUGGCGCUUUGUAGUCGUGGGAUCACGUGAAUGUCUGUGCUCUGCCUGCCCCUCCUGCUGGCCUGUCAGCAGGGGCCGCAGUGUCACUGACCACAUACCUGGCAGGCUGGUGGGCCAGCUCCGAGGUGGGCAGAGCGCAGAGCUGUACCUGGGCCGCCCAUGCGCCGGGCCCAGGCCCAGACCCGGCCACCCUCCAGGGCUUGUGUACCAGCUUCUCCAGGGAUGCAUCUGUGGGUGGUAGACUCUGGUGGUUUCUGCAUGUUCUAAGAUCCUGGAGCCCAGGACGCGAGCCAGUGCCAUGAGACU
Bos taurus (domestic cattle) is the source of this 637-nucleotide long non-coding RNA. NCBI's taxonomy places the organism in Eukaryota, Metazoa, Chordata, Mammalia, Artiodactyla, Bovidae. The record is from Ensembl.